GGGCCUGCGGAGGGAUCAUUACCGAGUUUACAACUCCC
RNAcentral lists this ribosomal RNA (38 nucleotides) under Calonectria sp. WH10A. Its description in RNAcentral is "partial 18S ribosomal RNA". The record is from RNAcentral. Lineage: Eukaryota; Fungi; Ascomycota; Sordariomycetes; Hypocreales; Nectriaceae.